CCAAAAAAAUAACAACAUUAACAGCUAUUAGUUCUGCAACACGUCUGCAGGGGCUAAGCCCCCGUUGUAAGGUUUCUGGAGGGGCUCGAGCUGCAAAGCCCCCCCCCCAUACUCUACGCCUAUGAGGUUAUUUAUUUUAGGCCACAAGCAAUCUAUUUUCAUACGAAAAUUGAGUAUGACUAUGAGCCUCAAGUAUUAAUCUUCUACGGUCGCUGUAGUACUGCUGUAUAUCAUGGCAAAAAAUGUGGAAUAAGGGGGGGGGGGGGCAUAGGCCCCCUCAGCUACGGGCCUGCGUAUGAAGACGGGCAAUUUUUCCUUUACAAGUGGACGGGGCUUUAGAAUAACAAUAUUUCCACCUAUCCACAAUCAAGGGAUCAGAAUGUUCCACUCUGAAUUACCAAAAUGCUUGUGACAUUUUUAAAUUAACCAAGAUGUAAAUAAUUCUGAGACUUUUGCUGUCGCUGUUUAAACUUACUUUCGA
Paramuricea clavata is the source of this 481-nucleotide non-coding RNA. The record is from the annotation of a GenBank genome assembly. Lineage: Eukaryota; Metazoa; Cnidaria; Anthozoa; Malacalcyonacea; Plexauridae.